UCCUUGUCCUUGAGCCGCAGCCGCCUCUCAAUCUCUGCUAGGGUUUGGUACCACCGUAGGCACGCAAGUUCGAACCAGCUCUCUUCCUCUACCACCUUAAGUCGCUCCUUGAACUGCCGCUUUCCGCUGUUUAGGGUCGAGGUCUCGUGCUAGCCAUUUCCAGAUGCGAGAAACGCCCGUGGACAACAGGGAGGUGAUGGUUCCGCUAUAUAGUCUGCGUGGACUGGACCUUAUUUCUUAAUGGGCUUUUCUUUAGGGCUAUGGCCCAUGUAUUGCUUUAUGCUUUAUUACUCUACUUUCAUCUAUUAGACCUUUCAACUGUUUUUUGUUGGCAUCGUGGUGUGCCUAGUUUUGUAGGAGUGGUGUUAAGGACCCCAGGACU
This is a long non-coding RNA of Vigna unguiculata (cowpea), 382 nucleotides long. RefSeq lists it as uncharacterized. The record is from RefSeq and is a predicted model, not a curated record. Lineage: Eukaryota; Viridiplantae; Streptophyta; Magnoliopsida; Fabales; Fabaceae.